UGUACAAUCACGACAUUCACAUUCACACCUGUACAAUCACCAUUAUUCACAUCAAAAGCAAACUUAAAUAGAAAAUUUAACCAAACCAAAAGAUAAUAUUUUAUAUAAAUAAAAAUAAAGUACUAAUCGUCCAUUAUAAUCAAGAGUAAUAUAAAUAAAUAUAAAAAUACAAUAAAAAUAAAAUAAUAUCAAUCUGCAGGCGGAUGGUCGUCGUUGUCUCCAUGUGACGUGCUGCUAUCUCGACGGGUGCCUGAUAUGCCAGG
RNAcentral lists this long non-coding RNA (263 nucleotides) under Elaeis guineensis (African oil palm). RNAcentral's name for it is "long non-coding RNA (EGUI_LNC074866)". Lineage: Eukaryota; Viridiplantae; Streptophyta; Magnoliopsida; Arecales; Arecaceae. The record is from RNAcentral.